Ruditapes philippinarum (Manila clam) is the source of this 845-nucleotide long non-coding RNA. RefSeq lists it as uncharacterized. Lineage: Eukaryota; Metazoa; Mollusca; Bivalvia; Venerida; Veneridae. The record is from RefSeq and is a predicted model, not a curated record. The transcript has 3 exons.
CAUAAUCCUAAAAUGUCAAUGCAUGUGAUAAUAAAGUUAGACAAUAACGAACGUUAAAAUUGUAGGAAUAUGGUACAUUAUUUUAUUUAAUUAGGCUGGAUAGCAAUAUUUUGCGGAUGUUUAUAGGUUUACAGUGAUUCAAGCGGAGUAUGGAUAAGACCGAUGUUAAAUCGACGCAAUUGGAGGCCAGUGGCUUUAAACCAAAAAUUGUUGUAUCUCUAGAUGUCGGAAGCACCUAUUCGGGAUACGCCUGGCAAUGGAAAAAGGAUAAUGAUAGUUGCAAAGACAUAGUGGAAAUGAACAUGAAUUGGGAGUAUGCUCCAAUCCAGGCCAGUAAACUAAUCCAUUUUCUAUUGAGUGUUUCAUUUAUAUUUUUGCAAGCGUAAACAUUUUUUCUUGUCUCUUAUAAAAGGAUAAAAUAUUCAUCAAAAUUCAUUUUUUUCUAAUAACUAAAAUAGGGUUAUAUGAUUCAAAGCAAAUUAAUGCAUCUAAUAUUUCACGACAAAAAUGUGCAUAUACGAGAACAUUACUUUAGUGUUUCAUGAGAAGUUUUAAUAACUUUGAUGCGGAAGUUUAGAUAAGAGAAUUUGAAAAUACUGCAUAGCUAAAAAUGAUUGGAGACUAGAUUCUUGCAUGUUUAUGAUUACAGUUCAUCAUUUUAAAUUGCUUCUGAUAUUGAUGUUAAGGUCAACAAGUUGAGUAUUGUUUAGUAAUAUAACCCCAUACCAUUGUCUCUAUUUCAAAUUAGUCGUCUACAAAUUUAGAAUACAUGUCUUCUCAUUAAAAUUUACUUUACGGCCAAAAUCUAUAAUUAUUGUUAUGUUGUUAUCUACACAUGUACAAAU